UGAAAUAAAAAAGAAUCCUAACCACAAUUUAAAAAAACUCCAACCAACGUGGUAAAAGAAACGGUUCAUUAUGUGACAGUGUGCGUGAUUCCAUGAAUAUGAGUGCGUGUGUUAUAAUGAAAUCACAUGAUCGUACGGUACCCCUGCCAUUGUGUGUAAGCCACUCAAUUCAUGAAUGGUGGUGGGGGUACUAAGAAGUGACUCAAUGACUUUCAAACCAAAUGUCCUCAAAAAUUUUCGGUGGCCAUAACGAAAAAGGUGAAGUGACGUUAUUGUGAUUGAAUUUAAAGUGUCAUGGUUCUACACAAAAGAAAAUGGUCUUGAUAUAAAAACUCAAAAGUGAACUUAGUUCGGCAAAGUUACCAAAAGAAAAUUAAUAAGAAGGGAAAUUAUGGAAAAUAACUCAAUGAGGAAAAUUACAAAAAUGCACGAAAAAUGUGAAAAAACCAAAUUCUGCCAAGAAAAUGAAAAAAAACAAAAAAAAAUUAAGAAUUUUGUGUGAAAAUUUGAAAAAAAAAAGAAAAGAAAUAAUAAUAAAAAUAAGGAAAACGGAACAAAGAAAAAUAAAUUUCUCUGAAAACGGAGCGAUAUUAAUAUAGCCGAAAACAAAAUUUUAAAUAGAAAUGCAGAACAAAAAAGUUUUUGUCUUUUCCUUAAGCUGGCAAAAAAAAACAAGCAAAAAAACUUAUGAAAAACUAAAAUAAAAUUGCGUGUUCUAUUCGAAAAACAAAAAAAUCAGGGCCAAUAGGAGGGAAUUUUAAAAUAUCAGAAAAUCUUAAAAAAAAACACUAAAGUGAAAAAGAAAUUUAUCCAAAAAAAAUCCUUCAAACAAAACAAACCACUUUCAUAACUAAUUUGAUCUUUUCUUCUUGUCUAUCUUUCCAGGAAACCCACGUCAUGGACCUGCGAACUCGCAACGGCUGCCUCGCUUGAGAGCAUGAGCCAUGCCAUUUGUGGUCUAACGCUGUGGUGUGCCCAAGAUAAACGAACUGGUAAGUAUCAAAUAGAUGGUGCACCUUGGUGUAUCCUCUAUGACUUCUCCUAGCCGCCUCUCAUCACUCACCACGGCAUCCCUCGCCCCAUGUCCAAGAUGCCAUAGCGAUAGAAAGACGGGUCGACCCGACAUACACCGAGGUCGUCAAGAGGCUCUACCGUGGUUGAGUGAUCUCCUGGGGCCGGCAUCGAGAGAUGACAAUCUCUCGUCCGGACAAAACGCCUUCCGCCGCAACUCGCGUUCCAUGUCCAAGAUGCCAUAGUGAUAGAAAGACGGGUCACCCAUUGCGAGGUUGACAGCGAGCUCUCCGGCGGUCGAGGCACCCCAGAGGUUGGCAGAGAGAAGUAGCACGAAUCAGCGCGUAAUCUUGCGCACAUCACACCACGGGACCCCUCUUGGCGGUUCAGCACUCGCGAGAGCGUAAGACCACGAGUCCACUCCAACAACCUCACCUGGACCAUACGGGUAAGUCCAUGGUAAGUAUUAACACCCUUUUACAGCGCCACCCUAAAUCAAAAAUUGCAAAUAUACACCCCAUUGCACAAUUUGUGCACUCGCCCAAGGAUGUAAGCCCAUGGCUUGGAAAUAUACGCACACUUGUAUAUUUGCCCACUACUGCCUUGAACACACACACACACCCACCAUUCGAGAUGAACCUGAGGUAUAAUAUGGGCACGAGGCAAAAAUCAUUCGGACCUCUGCAACGAUCACCACUUAAGUUAAGUAUAAAUCAUAAAAUACAAUUCAAAUCUAAAUUCUCUUCUAAUUCAUUUAGGUCAUCUUAUGCUACAGUUUACCACAAGACGACGGCUGUUCUACAGCUUGUUCCUUACUGCUAUAGAGAUCCCUGGGACUUAAUUCCUCUGCUAUCUAUCACAGGGUACAACUAAAACUAACUAAACCUACAUUAGACCAUGGCUUAAUAUUGGAAACUCCCAGCUACGGAAAUGGAAUUUCAGGUUCGUAUCCAAAAUAUGUUAUCACGGAUGGGGUUAGUGACUUACAGCUGCGGCUUCAUAAACAGUUGAUAAAAAUUGGCAAUUCCACCCAUAACAGGUGUCUAUAUUGCCCAUUGCUGUUGAUUGGUAAUUGGGAUCGUGACUGCUGCCUUCGGACUGUGCUCCAUGGCGACUACAUAAAGCUUUGCAAGUCUUUACCAUGUAGGACUCACAGGAGCUAGGAAUUAAAUUUAUUCGGAAUCGGACGGACAGGCAGAAAGUCAUAAUUUGGGCUAUUGGCUUUAAAACUAUUGUGGAAGAAGGUGGAAAGUGUCUACCAUUGUCUCCCGAGGAAGUCGCAUGGCUCAUCUGGACUCACAGCCACUUCGACACCAGACUUACUUCCCAUGGAGGCUUUGGACGACACUCUGUUAAUACAAAGUAUCAGUGCCUCUUCAAGCUUAGACGUCGCACUCGACUAGCUUGUCUUAUAAUCAAACUGCUGUCGGGACUUACGCAAAACAUAGAAGGAAACCACAAACACAAAUAUUAACAGCCACACAAUUGAAACGGUCAACCCGAUUGCUCGGGCCCCACGUUGGGCGCCAUUUUUUGUCGUGUACCCAAGGGUCCACGUUGCCGUUGGAGUGAGGAGUCGGACUGGCGGGCGCUGGUCGCUGGCAUUCGAGCACCGGCUUUUGGCUCAGUCUUUGGGGCGCGGUUCUUUGCCAAUCCAACCCUCUGGCAAGGUGACAAAAAAAACAAAAUAAACAACCAGCUGUCGGUGGUACGAAACGGACGACAAUAGAACAUUAACAAAACACCCACUGGAACGAACUGGAGGACAUUACGGCUGUGGAAUUGCCUGGCGCCUAAAAUCCUUCAUGGCGCCUCAGGACUUUGCCCACCCCAACCAUGGCACCCCUCGUCCUGUAAUAUUAAGGGUACCCCGUAAUCCAUCACCUGUCUAUCUUUGCCGCUGCUCAGUCACUUACCCCAUAUUCCGAUGCUUUAGCCUUCCAUCAUCCUUUAGAAAUCACCAAG
Molecule: RNA transcript, 2976 nt
Organism: Stomoxys calcitrans (stable fly)
Lineage: Eukaryota; Metazoa; Arthropoda; Insecta; Diptera; Muscidae
Exons: 4
Source: RefSeq, a predicted model, not a curated record